RNAcentral lists this unclassified non-coding RNA (879 nucleotides) under Mesorhizobium sp. RNAcentral describes it as "partial contains 16S-23S ribosomal RNA intergenic spacer and 23S ribosomal RNA". The stretch from base 258 to 331 matches the Rfam family "tRNA". Lineage: Bacteria; Pseudomonadati; Pseudomonadota; Alphaproteobacteria; Hyphomicrobiales; Phyllobacteriaceae. The record is from RNAcentral.
GCUCGUUCAUCGAGCCUCUACCUUUCGGUUCUCUUGGAACAAGACGGAAGAGAGUCACUCUUACCGUCGUGCAUACCUGAAGCGGGUCUGCCGCCUUCGUUUCUCUUUCUUCAGCGAAUGACUUUGACUUGCGCUCGCGCGCCGCAUCGGCCUUCGGCCUGGCGCUCCGCGAGGGCGCGGCACAAGCCGCGACGGCCGGUCGGCCUUGCGAGACUUGCGUCUCGGUGGCGAGAGCCGAUUUAAGGCGCAGUGUCUAAGGGCUUGUAGCUCAGUUGGUUAGAGCGCGCGCUUGAUAAGCGUGAGGUCGGAGGUUCAAGUCCUCCCAGGCCCACCACUUCCUUUCGAUACGAAGGUUAUCAGGGGCCGUAGCUCAGCUGGGAGAGCGCCUGCUUUGCAAGCAGGAUGUCGUCGGUUCGAUCCCGUCCGGCUCCACCAACCAUCUUCUGCGAAGAUGGGGCGUGUCGAGUAGAGACGGUGAGAAAAAAGUCAUUCGAAAAAGAGUUUGCGUCGAGCCCUGUGCUCUGCGCCUGUUCUGUUUGACAUCGUAAAGAGAAGAUUUGUUCGAACUUCAUGAGCCGCAAGGUCUCAUGAUUUGUCGCAAGGGACGCUCAAUCCCUUGCUUAUGAUGGGUUUGCCUAACCGCGCCCUCGAACGGAUCUCGAGAAGCUGGUCUUUUUGUGCCAAUUCCAUUGAAGCAGGUCCCGCACAGGAUCUGGUUCGAGGCGACGAUCCCUGCGGGAUCGCGCGAUGAUGGGUAUUGGCAAUGAGAACGAUCAAGUGUCUUAAGGGCAAUUGGUGGAUGCCUUGGCAUGCACAGGCGAUGAAGGACGUGAUACGCUGCGAUAAGCUACGGGAGGUGCGAAUACCCUUUGAUCCGUA